CAGGGAUCUGCUCUGGGUCCAGGCUGUCCGUGCUGGAGGGCCCUGGUGGCUGCAGUCCCUGAGCCCGCAGAGACAGAGAGAGCCCCGGCCCGAGUGGCCUUUGGCCCCUUGUCCUGAAUUUGGGGUGAGCCUGGGAGCGUGUGGAGGAUGCUGGAAUUGCCUCUCUGGGUGUGUGCUGAGCUCUGGCUGCAGGGGACUGUCAGGCCUUGGUGGCUAUCUUCUCUUUCUGCCUUUGAAUUCACAGCCUCCUUGCAGCUCCCAGCUGGGGAACCUGGGAGAACUUAGGAGGGACAGAGGUGACAUUUUUAUCUGCAGACUUGGGGUAAUUUCUAGGGGAUACAGCAACUGUUUGUGUAGGAAAGUGCAUUUAACCACAUGGGUCCAAGUUGUGUUUGCACCAGCUGGGGCCAGAGGUGCAAGGCAAUCCAAAGCAAACCCUGCUCAGCCUCUGAAUCCCAGGGGAAGUUCUCCAAGCUGCUCCCUGAGGGACUAAAGAUACAUUGAAAUGGAACCAAAUAAGGGUCACUGUCCCUGUGGAAAGGCCAAAGGAAUUGGUUGGGACUUGGAUUGUCCCCUGGGGAGAUGCUGGUUGCCGGGAUGCAGAGAAUGCCCUCCCUCAGGCUGCCAAGAUCUCUCAGUGCAGGGGCUUUGGCCGACAGGGCAGCACAAAGAUUGUUCUCUUUGUGGGGCCCAGGUUUGGGUUCCGGUCUCAGCUUUGCAGGUUUAGAGGAAUUCUACCUACAGCCCGCAAUUCCAUGGGGAAUUCCUGCUGGAACAGCCUCCCAGUGCCUCCUGGAGCCCGGCUAUUCCCCUGCAGAGCUGCCGCUUUAAGGCCAGGUUUGCCGGGAAGCAGCCGCGGUUCCAGGUUUGCUGAGCGGGAUCGGGACAAGGACAGGUUGAUGUUGCACAGACUUUGCUGUUUGUAACCCUCCUGCCCCGGCCCCGGCGGCGUCCCUGGGGGGACUUGAGCGAGUCGGCUGGAAUUGGGCCGAUUCUCCGCCCCGGGCCGGGCUCCAGGGGAUGGGUUCGCCCAGGAGAAGGCGGGGGCCGGACGCGCUCCCGGCCCGGGGCGAGGCAGCCCCUGAGCACGGGCGAGGACGUCUCUCCGGCCGGGAAGCCGCUGUCCCUUGGGAGCCUCGGCAGCGGCCCCGGCAAGUUCUUUUCCCCGAGCGAAGGGAUGCACAUCCCUGCCUUCAGGGCACCUCGGCUCUGCCCCACCUGUUCCAGCUGUCCACGGGUUCUGCGGUUGCGGUUGGGUCCCCGAAAAACUGCGAAUUGCCUCCAAGCCCAACUUUCUCCGAGCAUCCCCUUUUCCUUUCAGGCAUCUCCGAGGGCUCUGGCUCGGGAUUUAGUGCCGCUGAGGGCACAUGGCCCCGGCUUUAAGGCUGCUGCUGGCUGCUGGGCUCCGGCUGGAAGGGCAGGGAUUUGGGGCGGGCGGGACACGCGUGGGGGGCGCGGGGGAGCUCUGGGAGGUGG
This is a long non-coding RNA of Pipra filicauda (Wire-tailed manakin), 1476 nucleotides long. RefSeq lists it as uncharacterized. NCBI's taxonomy places the organism in Eukaryota, Metazoa, Chordata, Aves, Passeriformes, Pipridae. The record is from RefSeq and is a predicted model, not a curated record. The transcript is spliced from 3 exons.